UUGGUUAAGUUAGAAAGGGCGCACGGUGGAUGCCUUGGCACUAGGAGCCGAAGAAGGACGGGACUAACACCGAUAUGCUUUGGGGAGCUGUACGUAAGCGUUGAUCCAGAGAUUUCCGAAUGGGGGAACCCACUAUCUUUAGUCGGAUAGUAUCCUUACGUGAAUACAUAGCGUGAGGAAGGCAGACCCAGGGAACUGAAACAUCUAAGUACCUGGAGGAAGAGAAAGAAAAAUCGAUUUCCUGAGUAGCGGCGAGCGAAACGGAAAGAGCCCAAACCAAGAAGCUUGCUUCUUGGGGUUGUAGGACACUCUAUACGGAGUUACAAAAGAAAGUUAUAAAUGAAGCGGUCUGGAAAGGCCCGCCAAAGACGGUAACAGCCCGGUAGUUGAAAUGGCUUUCCCUCCAGAGUGGAUCCUGAGUACGGCGGAACACGUGAAAUUCCGUCGGAAUCCGGGAGGACCAUCUCCCAAGGCUAAAUACUCCCUAGUGACCGAUAGUGAACCAGUACCGUGAGGGAAAGGUGAAAAGCACCCCGGAAGGGGAGUGAAACAGUUCCUGAAACCGUGUGCCUACAAGUAGUUAGAGCCCGUUAAUGGGUGAUAGCGUGCCUUUUGUAGAAUGAACCGGCGAGUUACGAUUUGUUGCAAGGUUAAGCGGAAAAAGCGGAGCCGUAGCGAAAGCGAGUCUGAAUAGGGCGCAUAAGUAACAGGUCGUAGACCCGAAACCAGGUGAUCUACCCAUGUCCAGGAUGAAGGUAAGGUAAUACUUACUGGAGGUCCGAACCCACGCACGUUGAAAAGUGCGGGGAUGAGGUGUGGGUAGCGGAGAAAUUCCAAUCGAACUUGGAGAUAGCUGGUUCUCUCCGAAAUAGCUUUAGGGCUAGCCUCGAGGUAAAGAGUCAUGGAGGUAGAGCACUGUUUGGACUAGGGGCCCUUCUCGGGUUACCGAAUUCAGAUAAACUCCGAAUGCCAUGUACUUAUACUCGGGAG
This 990-nucleotide ribosomal RNA is filed under the name Listeria monocytogenes. RNAcentral describes it as "partial 23S ribosomal RNA". It matches the Rfam family "Bacterial large subunit ribosomal RNA", at positions 1 to 983 of the family's 2925-position model. Lineage: Bacteria; Bacillati; Bacillota; Bacilli; Caryophanales; Listeriaceae. The record is from RNAcentral.